This is a long non-coding RNA of Daphnia pulex (common water flea), 364 nucleotides long. RefSeq lists it as uncharacterized. The transcript is spliced from 3 exons. NCBI's taxonomy places the organism in Eukaryota, Metazoa, Arthropoda, Branchiopoda, Diplostraca, Daphniidae. The record is from RefSeq and is a predicted model, not a curated record.
AUGUGCCGAUCACCGCAGCUGCCUUUUUAACAGCCCUACAGUCACGACCUUGUGAGAGUCAUCGAGCGGCACGGCAAGGCAAGGCACAGACGAAAAUGUUGGUCAACUGUUUCGUAGGUAAGAAGAGAUAUCACACAAUGGAUUUUCAAAUCUGACUGGCUAUUUGGCUGGUAACACGACGCGACCAGCAACUCAGGAAAUGUAUGCUACACACACUGUGGAAUACUGCUGCUGCAUAUCCAGCACUACUACGCUAUAUAUAAUGAGUUUCAACAGGCGUUGAUCGUCUAUUCCACAUCGAUAUUGAAUUACACAUUCGACUGCUGCUGCUUGCCGUCGUGCAGGUCAUCAUCAUCAUCAGCGC